Molecule: unclassified non-coding RNA, 240 nt
Filed under: soil metagenome
Description: partial contains 5.8S ribosomal RNA, internal transcribed spacer 2, and large subunit ribosomal RNA
Source: RNAcentral
AACCUAGCACACCUGCGGUGUGUACCUGCGGAAGGAUCAUUACCGAGUUUACAAACUCCCAACCCUUUGUGAACCUUACCAUAUUGUUGCUUCGGCGGGACCGCCCCGGCGCCUUCGGGCCCGGAACCAGGCGCCCGCCGGAGGCCCCAAACUCUUAUGUCUUUAGUGGUUUUCUCCUCUGAGUGACACAUAAACAAAUAAAUAAAAACUUUUAACAAUGGAUCUCAGAUCGGAAGAGCA